GACAGCAGUAGCCGCGGGAAUACAGAGGGUGCGAGCGUUAAUCGGAUUUACUGGGCGUAAAGCGUGCGUAGGCGGCUUCUUAAGUCGGAUGUGAAAUCCCUGAGCUUAACUUAGGAAUUGCAUUCGAUACUGGGAAGCUAGAGUAUGGGAGAGGAUGGUAGAAUUCCAGGUGUAGCGGUGAAAUGCGUAGAGAUCUGGAGGAAUACCGAUGGCGAAGGCAGCCAUCUGGCCUAAUACUGACGCUGAGGUACGAAAGCAUGGGGAGCAAACAGGAUUAGAUACCCCUGUAGUCCCUGUCUCUUAUAC
This 306-nucleotide ribosomal RNA is filed under the name uncultured bacterium. RNAcentral describes it as "partial 16S ribosomal RNA". It matches the Rfam family "Bacterial small subunit ribosomal RNA", at positions 507 to 807 of the family's 1533-position model. The record is from RNAcentral.